This 490-nucleotide ribosomal RNA is filed under the name Microbacterium sp. 66. Its description in RNAcentral is "bacterial SSU rRNA". It matches the Rfam family "Bacterial small subunit ribosomal RNA", at positions 255 to 757 of the family's 1533-position model. The record is from RNAcentral. Lineage: Bacteria; Bacillati; Actinomycetota; Actinomycetes; Micrococcales; Microbacteriaceae.
AGGUAAUGGCUCACCAAGGCGUCGACGGGUAGCCGGCCUGAGAGGGUGACCGGCCACACUGGGACUGAGACACGGCCCAGACUCCUACGGGAGGCAGCAGUGGGGAAUAUUGCACAAUGGGCGGAAGCCUGAUGCAGCAACGCCGCGUGAGGGAUGACGGCCUUCGGGUUGUAAACCUCUUUUAGCAGGGAAGAAGCGAGAGUGACGGUACCUGCAGAAAAAGCACCGGCUAACUACGUGCCAGCAGCCGCGGUAAUACGUAGGGUGCAAGCGUUAUCCGGAAUUAUUGGGCGUAAAGAGCUCGUAGGCGGUUUGUCGCGUCUGCUGUGAAAUCCCGAGGCUCAACCUCGGGCCUGCAGUGGGUACGGGCAGACUAGAGUGCGGUAGGGGAGAUUGGAAUUCCUGGUGUAGCGGUGGAAUGCGCAGAUAUCAGGAGGAACACCGAUGGCGAAGGCAGAUCUCUGGGCCGUAACUGACGCUGAGGAGCGAA